UACAGAGGGGGCUAGCGUUGCUCGGAAUUACUGGGCGUAAAGCGCACGUAGGCGGGUUCUUAUGUCGGUGGUGAAAUCCUGGAGCUCAACUCCAGAACUGCCUUCGAUACUGGGAAUCUUGAGUCCGGGAGAGGUGAGUGGAACUGCGAGUGUAGAGGUGAAAUUCGUAGAUAUUCGCAAGAACACCAGUGGCGAAGGCGGCUCACUGGCCCGGUACUGACGCUGAGGUGCGAAAGCGUGGGGAGCAAACAGG
Molecule: ribosomal RNA, 253 nt
Filed under: uncultured bacterium
Lineage: Bacteria
Description: partial 16S ribosomal RNA
Rfam family: Bacterial small subunit ribosomal RNA
Source: RNAcentral